AUGAGUUGCCUGGUGUGGAACUACCGCGGGGCUGGCAAACCCGCUACAAUUUGAGAGCUUCGAGAUCUCUCGAGGCAACAUGCCCCCUCCAUUGUAUGCAUCUUAGAAACCCAAAUAGAGGGCUCACGUGUUGAGAGUAUGGUAGGAUCUUUAGGCUUUGAAAAGAGUUUUGUUGUAAGCAAUAGAGGUAGAAGUGGUGGUCUUGGUAUCUUCUGGAAUGAAGCAAUAAAGUUGGAAAUUAUUGGUUAUUCAGAGUAUCAUAUUGAUGUACUUGUGAAAGAACUAGUCCCGGUGCAAACUAGGAUCACUUUUGUCUAUGGAGAAGCACAAACGCAAGAAAGAUAUAAAACAUGGGAUAUGAUGCGUGGCAUUGCUAAUACCAGCAAUCACCCUUGGGUUAUAUAG
RNAcentral lists this ribosomal RNA (405 nucleotides) under Triticum aestivum (bread wheat). RNAcentral describes it as "partial small subunit ribosomal RNA". The record is from RNAcentral. Lineage: Eukaryota; Viridiplantae; Streptophyta; Magnoliopsida; Poales; Poaceae.